CCCUUAGAUGAUUUGGGCUGCACGCGCGCUACACUGACCCUAACAAUGAGCAACUGUCUGGCCUGAGAUGGCUGGGUAGCCUUUUCAACCCAUGUCAUGAUUGGGCUAGAUUUUUGUAAGUCUUGAUCUCUAACGAGGAAUCCCUAGUAUGCGUGAAUCAUCAAUCCAUGCAGAUUAUGUCCCUGCCCUUUGUACACACCGCCCGUCGCUCCUACUAAUUGGGUGAUCCGGUGAGCUGUUCGGCCAUAGCAAUGUUUCUUGAGCAGGGCAAUGAAUGUUUCGCAAACCUUGCCACUUAGAGGAAGGAGAAGUCGUAACA
Molecule: ribosomal RNA, 319 nt
Filed under: uncultured eukaryote
Lineage: Eukaryota
Description: partial 18S ribosomal RNA
Rfam family: Eukaryotic small subunit ribosomal RNA
Source: RNAcentral